GACGAACGCUGGCGGCGUGCUUAACACAUGCAAGUCGAACGGAAAGGCCCUGCUUUUGUGGUGUGCUCGAGUGGCGAACGGGUGAGUAACACGUGAGUAACCUGCCCUUGACUUUGGGAUAACUUCAGGAAACUGGGGCUAAUACCGGAUAGGAGCUCCUGCUGCAUGGUGGGGGUUGGAAAGUUUCGGCGGUUGGGGAUGGACUGGCGGCUUACGAGCUUGUUGGUGGGGUAGUGGCUUACCAAGGCUUUGACGGGUAGCCGGCCUGAGAGGGUGACCGGCCACAUUGGGACUGAGGUACGGCCCAGACUCCUACGGGAGGCAGCAGUGGGAAAUAUUGCACAAUGGGCGGAAGCCUGAUGCAGCAACGCCGCGUGCGGGAUGACGGCCUUUGGGUUGUGAACCGCUUUCGCCUGUGACGAAGCGUGAGUGACGGUAAUGGGUAAAGAAGCACCGGCUAACUACGUG
This 468-nucleotide ribosomal RNA is filed under the name uncultured bacterium. RNAcentral's name for it is "partial 16S ribosomal RNA". It matches the Rfam family "Bacterial small subunit ribosomal RNA", at positions 28 to 507 of the family's 1533-position model. The record is from RNAcentral.